RNAcentral lists this ribosomal RNA (463 nucleotides) under uncultured bacterium. RNAcentral describes it as "partial 16S ribosomal RNA". It matches the Rfam family "Bacterial small subunit ribosomal RNA", at positions 29 to 507 of the family's 1533-position model. The record is from RNAcentral.
AGUGAACGCUGGCGGCGUGCUUAAUACAUGCAAGUCGAACGAUGAAGUCCUAGCUUGCUAGGAUGGAUUAGUGGCGCACGGGUGAGUAAUAUAUAGUUAAUCUGCCUUGCACUGAGGAACAACAGUUGGAAACGAUUGCUAAUACCUCAUACUCCAACUUUACAUAAGUUAAGUUGGGAAAGUCUUUUCGGUGCAAGAUGAGACUAUAUCGUAUCAGCUAGUUGGUAAGGUAAUGGCUUACCAAGGCUAUGACGCGUAACUGGUCUGAGAGGAUGAUCAGUCACAUUGGAACUGAGACACGGGUCAAACUCCUACGGGAGGCAGCAGUAAGGAAUAUUGUGCAAGGGGGGAAACCCUGACGCAGCAACGCGGCGUGGAGGAUGACACUUUUCGGAGCGUAAACUCCUUUUGUUAGGGAAGAAUAAUGACGGUACCUAACGAAUAAGCACCGGCUAACUCCGUG